UACAGAGGUCCCAAGCGUUGUUCGGAUUCACUGGGCGUAAAGGGUGCGUAGGCGGCGAGGUAAGUCUGACGUGAAAUCUCCGGGCCUAACCCGGAAACUGCGUUGGAUACUAUCUCGCUCGAGGAAUGGAGGGGAGACUGGAAUACUUGGUGUAGCAGUGAAAUGCGUAGAUAUCAAGUGGAACACCAGUGGCGAAGGCGAGUCUCUGGACAUUUCCUGACGCUGAGGCACGAAAGCCAGGGGAGCAAAC
Molecule: ribosomal RNA, 250 nt
Filed under: uncultured bacterium
Lineage: Bacteria
Description: partial 16S ribosomal RNA
Rfam family: Bacterial small subunit ribosomal RNA
Source: RNAcentral